RNAcentral lists this ribosomal RNA (465 nucleotides) under uncultured bacterium. RNAcentral's name for it is "partial 16S ribosomal RNA". It matches the Rfam family "Bacterial small subunit ribosomal RNA", at positions 338 to 795 of the family's 1533-position model. The record is from RNAcentral.
CCUACAGGUGGCAGCAGUAGGGAAUCUUCCACAAUGGACGAAAGUCUGAUGCAGCAACGCCGCGUGAGUGAUGAAGGGUUUCGGCUCGUAAAGCUCUGUUGGUAGUGAAGAAAGAUAGAGGUAGUAACUGGCCUUUAUUUGCUGGUUAUUACUUAGAAAGUCACGGCUUACUACGUGGCAGCAGCCGCGGUAAUACGUAGGUGGCAAGCGUUGUCCGGGUUUAUUGGGCGUAAAGCGAGUGCAGGCGGUUCAAUAAGUCUGAUGUGAAAGGCUUCGGCUCAACCGGAGAAUUGCAUCAGAAACUGUUGAACUUGAGUGCAGAAGAGGAGAGUGGAACUCCAUGUGUAGCGGUGGAAUGCGUAGAUAUAUGGAAGAACACCAGUGGCGAAGGCGGCUCUCUGGUCUGCAACUGACGCUGAGGCUCGAAAGCAUGGGUAGCGAACAGGAUUAGAUACCCCAGUAGUC